Drosophila mojavensis is the source of this 2061-nucleotide long non-coding RNA. RefSeq lists it as uncharacterized. NCBI's taxonomy places the organism in Eukaryota, Metazoa, Arthropoda, Insecta, Diptera, Drosophilidae. The record is from RefSeq and is a predicted model, not a curated record. The transcript has 4 exons.
UGGUACCUUCUCAGUAAUCGAUUCGAUAUAUCGAUAUUUCGUGCUUACAUCACAAAAAGAAAAUGUGUAUAAAUUCCAUCUCACAUGGCUGUCGGGGCAAAAUAAUAGGAGAGACUGACGAUUCGGAUAGUAGCAGUUAAGAUAAUUGUCUUUUUAUUAUCAAACGGAGUCAUUAGCUGGAGUGAAAGUGAUCUCAUCAAUGACCUAUCAAAACAUGGUCAUCAACAUUGCAAGAUUUGGGCUCCAUUCAUAACUUCUCAUCAUAAAUACUGAUAUACCUGUAUGUAAUGUAAUGUAAUAAAAUUUAUAUUGACUAUGUAUACUGAUUGUUUUAUGACAGCUAAUGUCAUAUACGAUUUAUGUCCACAAUUUAAAUAUGAAUAUUGAUAAUAUUUCAGUAAAUACAAAUGAUCAAUUUUAAUAGAUUUUAAAGCUUAGACGCCAACAUGUUCGCUCCCAGAGUGCAACAGGUGCGAAUGUUGUAUACACAGGCAUAUAAAACUGUUUAAGCACACAAAGAGUUUGCCAUUAGAAUCAACAAACACGUUUGCUGCAGACAAGUUGUAAAGCAGAAGAGCUUGAGUACAUUCUGAUGGCUUUUACAAACUUUUGUACUGAGUUCCACGGGGGGGCUAACUAACUGCCCUUCCGGCUCUGACCAGCAGGACGGCUUGCCAAGCGCUGGAAGAUGCCCCGCGGAUGCCGCAUAAUUAAAAGCAAUUCGGACGUCCUCUGCCACUUGUUGGCGUCGUCUACUUGUUGGCGACAGCAGCAGGACUGUGCCAAGAGUCGAGCUUUAAUGAAAUUACUUUGGUAGCAGAACACAAUAUUAAAAUAAAUUACAAGAUAAUAUGAACCGCUUAAAGAGUUAUUGAAGCUUUGAUUCAACCUUUCACUGGGGAGAGUCAUUAGCCCGAGGCUCAUGUGCUGGGAGCCAAAUAUGUUAAAUACGAGGCAGACAAGCAGCAAGCAUUUCGCUGCAAAUCGCAACAGGAGCCACAAUUAUGCCACAUGGCAACGUGCGAGUCGUUGACGUGUGCUGCUGCUGAGUAUUUACCCAAAUGUCGCAAUAUCCUGCUACUGCAUCCUGUUCGUACUCUUUUUCGCAUUCGAACAAUGCGUGCAUUCAAUUCCCCAAGAGAUGAAUUAAAAACUGCAUCAGCAGCAAGCGCCUGACAACUUUUAUGAAAUAGCAGAAAAAAAGAGCUAAAAAAAAAAUAAAAAAAUAAAAAAUAAAACAAGAAAAAAGUAGGAAUAUUCCAAUGAAGAAUGAAACACUAAAGGGCAACCCCUUGUGCCCGGGCCCCUUGCUCAGCGGCCCAGUGGGUGCAGAGGGAACGCUUAACCAUUGUCUAAGCGCUGCCGGCUAAAUAGCAGGAAGCAGUUCUAAACAGUAGAAAUCAACAGAAAGCACUUGCAACGGCAACAGAGUGGCGCCUCGAGUGUUUACAGCAAUUCAUUUGCGCCUCAGCUACCAGAGCUCAACAAUGGGCCAACAGUAGUUGCAAGCGUGCGUCAAAUGAAUAUGUUUUUCUUCAUUUCUGCCUUGCCUGGCCUUUGCCUGAAAAUAAACUUAAAGCCAGGUCCGCACUGAUGACUGUGGUCACAACCUGUAAACGAAUAAGUAACAACGACAACAGCAACAACAACAAGCCGGAGUCUAUAUCUAUGCCCUUAUUGCAUUUCAGUUGUGGCCACAUUUAUUUAGCUACCCUUCGCCACAGACACUCGGCCACUGAGUAAAUAUGAAAGAAGCAAAGAAAGAAAGCCAAACGGAGCUGAAGACAAGCAGCCGAUGCUGCUGCUGCUGCUGCUGCUGCGGGCCAUCAUUCAACCUGUCAAGGACAUCGGCAGGACCAUCUACAACGACAGCAGCAGCAGCUGGAGCCGGCUGGGGCUAUGAAAGUAAUAGUUCAGCUGCGGCUGCUUUGAUGCGGUCCGAGAGCUGCACAAAUAUGUGCUCAAGGUGAGCAAAUCCCUAAAUGCGUUGCUGAGCGCCAGACUAAGAUGAUUAUGAGCUCGGAAUGAUUAUGAGCUCCGAUAAGAAUGACAGUGUUAACA